UUGAAAAAACAUGUCAUUCACCAUCCUACUUGUUUGGUCAACCUGUAUGCUAAGUUUCUGUAUACCUGGUAUGAACAUGAUUCUUUUUGACCAUCAAUUUUAGGCUAGGAUUUCAAACAAGUGGGAGUCUGGUGAGGUGAACAUCCAGAGGAAUUUUGAACCACAACCAUCCUACAACUGCCCAAAAUCAGAGUUACAACUAGAUAUGAGUUGCACCCCCAACUCCAAAAUUUAUCAAUGAGGCAGAUAAGGCAGCAUGCAAACAUUUUGCUACCUGCUGGCUUAAACGCUACCUUCAUGUUGCAUCAUGCUAAAUGUGCUGUUAAAUGGCUGCAGCCCUCAGCAAGGGGCCCAAAUACAUACAAGUUACUGGAUCUUCAAGAAUAUUGAAUGACAAUUGAAAGUCUGCAAAUGUAUCAGUUCCAAGGCAUGUAACAUUUUUACUCAAUAAGAGAUGCACUGAGAUGAUAAGAGAGAGACAUUUCUUCUGAUGAAACAAAUGUGGGUGAAGGAAGCCUUACCUGCAUCAAAAUCUUCUGUCAUAAUUGUAUUGUAUCUAUUAUAGAAUUGCUUCCCACAAUGAAGAACCACUAUUGCUUACCAAUACUGACAUGCCAACUGAUUGCCUUAUCCU
Long non-coding RNA from Rhincodon typus (whale shark), 634 nucleotides. RefSeq lists it as uncharacterized. The record is from RefSeq and is a predicted model, not a curated record. The transcript is spliced from 4 exons. Lineage: Eukaryota; Metazoa; Chordata; Chondrichthyes; Orectolobiformes; Rhincodontidae.